GAGACCUCCAGUAUUUUGAUUAACAGCUGUGCCGUGUUACUGAUACAUACACACAGAGUGCAUGUUUUCUAAACUCGUCUCUUAUUCAAGCCUGUAAAUGCAGUUUGUUUUUUCAAACAAUCGAAUAACCUCAUAUCUAAUGAACCCUGCUUCCACUGUGUUUUGGUCAAGCAUUCUUCAUCUUCCUCCUCCUCAUCGAGUUCUGAUUCCUCCAGCAGCUCCUCCUCAGAGUCAGAUGACGAGGAUGAAAAGAAGACUGUAAAGAAGAAGCGGAAGAGAAAGAAGUCGUCAUCCAGAAGAGCAUCGGACAGCUCAGAGGAUGAGUCGGAUGCUGAAAGCAAGAAAAGGAAAAGAAUAAAGGAAGAAGGUGACAGAGAUAAGGAUGAAAAGAGCCGUAGAGGAAAGAGGAAGGCUGAGAGAAGUUAUAAAGGCUCAUCAUCAGAGUCGUCUGCUGACUCUGAUGAUGAUGAAGCAGUUGAAGCCAAGAAAAAAAAGAGAAGCAGCGAGGAAAAGGAGAAAUUCACAGAUAAAUCCAAGAAGAAGAGGAAAAGGAAGCACAAAAAACAUGGCAGAAAAAAGAAAAAGAAGACGGCGUCUCAGUCGGACUCGGACCUCGACUGAAAACAUGUCUUCCAUUUUUCUGACAGCUCAAAAGUAGAGUCAUCUUUGCCUUUGACUACCAAAAACUACUCGCAUCCAAUUUUUGGGGAUUUCCACCUAUACAGGGGAAGCAGCAGGCCUAAAUGCUCGGCUUCUAUGUGUGAAGUGAAAAUUGGGAAGAAAGUGCUGGUCCCUCUAAGUGGAAACAAAUAGUGCAUAUCUUUUUUGUUUUGUUUUACCACCAUGAUUUUUCUGCAUUAUUGGUCUGAAGUUCACUCAAAGACAGGACUGAACUCCCCCCCCCCCCCCCCCCCCCCCCCCCCCAUCUCUUUCUGGAGACUUGAGUGUGCCUGGCACUCCCCACCGCCUUCAGAACGCUAGCCCUCUAGGAGUUAGCCUCUGUGCUUCAUACCUGACAUCUUUCAUUGCUACACGAGGCUGUUGAUGCUAGUGCCUGCGUGAUGCAUGUAGACGUGAUGACCAGAUGUCUCGCCGGCUUCAUAUUGAAGUUGGCCAUUGUUGUAAGAAAUGAGCUGCACAGUCAUACAGUAAUACAAGGGAUAAUUGUUUUUGUUAGAUGAGUUGUUACACUGCAGUGUAGUUGUACAAACAAUGGAGUUCAAUAAUAAAGUAUUGUUUUAACCUUU
Pundamilia nyererei is the source of this 1247-nucleotide long non-coding RNA. RefSeq lists it as uncharacterized. The record is from RefSeq and is a predicted model, not a curated record. NCBI's taxonomy places the organism in Eukaryota, Metazoa, Chordata, Actinopteri, Cichliformes, Cichlidae. The transcript is spliced from 6 exons.